AGCGAACGCUGGCGGCAGGCCUAACACAUGCAAGUCGAACGAACUCUUCGGAGUUAGUGGCGGACGGGUGAGUAACACGUGGGAACGUGCCUUUUGGUUCGGAAUAACUCAGGGAAACUUGUGCUAAUACCGAAUGUGCCCUUCGGGGGAAAGAUUUAUCGCCAUUAGAGCGGCCCGCGUCUGAUUAGCUAGUUGGUGAGGUAACUGCUCACCAAGGCGACGAUCAGUAGCUGGUCUGAGAGGAUGACCAGCCACACUGGGACUGAGACACGGCCCAGACUCCUACGGGAGGCAGCAGUGGGGAAUCUUGCGCAAUGGGCGAAAGCCUGACGCAGCCAUGCCGCGUGAAUGAUGAAGGUCUUAGGAUUGUAAAAUUCUUUCACCGGGGACGAUAAUGACGGUACCCGGAGAAGAAGCCCAGGCUAACUUCGU
Molecule: ribosomal RNA, 432 nt
Filed under: uncultured bacterium
Lineage: Bacteria
Description: partial 16S ribosomal RNA
Rfam family: Bacterial small subunit ribosomal RNA
Source: RNAcentral